This 159-nucleotide non-coding RNA is filed under the name Actinomycetes bacterium. Its description in RNAcentral is "Actinobacteria bacterium 6S RNA". It matches the Rfam family "6S / SsrS RNA". From Rfam's summary of the family: E. coli 6S RNA was the first non coding RNA to be sequenced, but its function was unknown until recently. The record is from RNAcentral. Lineage: Bacteria; Bacillati; Actinomycetota; Actinomycetes.
AGUGCUCGACCCUGUGCGAGCCCUCGUCCUCAAAGUAGAACCAACACCAAGUGAAAGGGAGCCCGCGUUCGGCUAGGGCGUUGCCCGAGGCCGGCAAGGCACCCACCUGGCAGUGCCAGGUUCGCUACGGGCGCGGGACACCGGCAGGGUGGGGCACUU